UGAACGCUGGCGGCAUGCCUUACACAUGCAAGUCGAACGGCAGCACGGGAGCAAUCCUGGUGGCGAGUGGCGAACGGGUGAGUAAUAUAUCGGAACGUGCCCAGUCGUGGGGAUAACGUAGAGAAAUUUACGCUAAUACCGCAUACGAUCUAAGGAUGAAANCGGGGGACCGUAAGGCCUCGCGCGAUUGGAGCGGCUGAUAUCAGAUUAGGUUGUUGGUGAGGUAAAAGCUCACCAAGCCGACGAUCUGUAGCUGGUCUGAGAGGACGACCAGCCACACUGGGACUGAGACACGGCCCAGACUCCUACGGGAGGCAGCAGUGGGAAUUUUGGACAAUGGGCGCAAGCCUGAUCCAGCAAUGCCGCGUGCAGGAUGAAGGCCUUCGGGUUGUAAACUGCUUUGUACGGAACGAAACGGUGAGCUCUAAUACAGUUUGCUAAUGACGGUACCGUAAGAAUAAGCACCGGCUAACUACGUG
RNAcentral lists this ribosomal RNA (479 nucleotides) under uncultured bacterium. RNAcentral's name for it is "bacterial SSU rRNA". It matches the Rfam family "Bacterial small subunit ribosomal RNA", at positions 30 to 507 of the family's 1533-position model. The record is from RNAcentral.